GCCAGUGUGGUGUAGUGGUUUGAAUGUUGGACUAUGACUCUGGAGACCAGGGUUCAUAUGCCUGCAUAACCA
Molecule: non-coding RNA, 72 nt
Organism: Phrynosoma platyrhinos (Desert horned lizard)
Lineage: Eukaryota; Metazoa; Chordata; Lepidosauria; Squamata; Phrynosomatidae
Source: the annotation of a GenBank genome assembly